Molecule: small nuclear RNA, 22 nt
Filed under: Arabidopsis thaliana (thale cress)
Lineage: Eukaryota; Viridiplantae; Streptophyta; Magnoliopsida; Brassicales; Brassicaceae
Description: snRNA_16951
Source: RNAcentral
AUCGAUCCUUUAGACCUUCGGA